GGAGUGAAAGACCCCUUCCCCUUGUUUUGACCCCCUGUCAUAAUAUGCUUAGCAAUAGUAACGCCAUUUGCAAGACAGCACCAAGAAGUUCAGGGGUCUUAUCCUAAGUCCACCGUUUAGCUGCCAAACAGGAUAUCUGUGGUCAGCCACCCGGCCCUAAGAUAGCCACCUGGCCCUAAGAUGGGAAUGGAAAGUACUGACUCCACCCGAUAGACCCUAGAGAUGAGCCUAGUCAGCCACCCAUGUUUUUCCCCCUCAUUCUGGGAAAUCGCCCUCAGAAAAGAAAAGAAAAAGAAAAAAAAAAAAAAAAAAAAAAAAAAAACCAGCCUCAUUUAACUGGACCAAUAAGACCCCGUAACUAUGCUUCUCGCUUCUGUAACCGCGCUUCUGCCACUCCAACCCUAUAAAAAGUCUCCCCAGCCCAACAAGAGGCGCGCAAGUCUUUGCUGAGACUUGACCGCCCCGGGUACCCGUGUACGAAUAAACCUCUUGCUGUUUGCAUCUGACUCGUGGUCUCGGUGUUCCGUGGGCACGGGGUCUCAUCGCCGAGGAAGACCUAGUUAGGGGGUCUUUCAUUUGGGGGCUCGUCCGGGAUAGAGACCCCCAACCCCCGGGACCACCGACCCACCAUCAGGAGGUAAGCUGGCCGGCGACCAUAUCUGUUGUCCUUGUAUGAGUGUCUCUGUCAUUUGAUCUGAUUUUGGCGGUGGAGCCGAAGGAGCUGACGAGCUCGAACUUCGCCCCCGCAACCCUGGAAGACGUUCCACGGGUGUCUGAUGUCUGGAGCCUCUAGUGGGACAGCCAUUGGGGCUAGAUUGUUUGGGAUCUCAUCCGUAUUAGGUGAAUACAGGGUGUUGAUCGGAGACGAGGGAGCCGGACCCUCAAGGUCUCCUUCUGAGGUUUCAUUUUCGGUUUGGUAUCGAAGCCGCGCGGCACGUCUUGUCAUUCUUUGUCUUGUUGCGUCUUUCCUUGUCCCCUGUCUAACCUUUUUAAUUGCAGAAGCCGUCAUGGGCCAAACUGUAACUACCCCCUUGAGCCUCACCCUCAACCACUGGUCUGAGGUCCAGGCACGGGCCCGUAAUCAGGGUGUCGAAGUCCGGAAAAAGAAAUGGAUUACACUGUGUGAAGCCGAAUGGGUAAUGAUGAAUGUAGGUUGGCCCCGAGAAGGAACUUUCACCAUUGACAAUAUUUCACAGGUCGAGGAGAGAAUCUUCGCCCCGGGGCCAUAUGGACACCCAGAUCAAAUCCCUUAUAUUACCACGUGGAGAUCCCUAGCCACAGACCCCCCUCCAUGGGUUCGCCCAUUCCUGCCCCCUCCUAAGCAUCCCAGGACAGAUCCUCCCGAGCCUCUUUCGCCGCAACCCUCAGCCCCCCCCAUCUCCUCCCUCUACCCCGUUCUCCCCAAACCAGACCCCCCCAAGGCGCCUGUAUUACCACCCAAUCCUUCUUCCCCUUUAAUUGAUCUCUUAACAGAAGAGCCACCUCCCUAUCCUGGGGGUCACGGGCCAACACCGCCAUCAGGCCCUAGAACCCCAACUGCCUCCCCGAUUGCCAGCCGGCUGCGAGAACGACGAGAAAAUCCAGCUGAGAAAUCUCAAGCCCUCCCCUUAAGGGAAGGCCCAAACAACAGACCCCAGUACUGGCCAUUCUCGGCCUCUGACCUGUACAAUUGGAAAUUGCAUAACCCCCCUUUCUCCCAGGACCCAGUGGCCCUAACUAACCUAAUUGAGUCCAUUUUAGUGACACAUCAGCCAACCUGGGACGACUGCCAACAGCUCUUACAGGCUCUCCUGACGGCAGAGGAGAGACAAAGGGUCCUCCUUGAAGCCCGAAAGCAAGUUCCAGGCGAGGACGGACGGCCAACCCAGCUGCCCAAUGUCGUUGACGAGGCUUUCCCCUUGACCCGUCCCAACUGGGAUUUUGCUACGCCGGCAGGUAGGGAGCACCUACGCCUUUAUCGCCAGUUGCUGUUAGCGGGUCUCCGCGGGGCUGCAAGACGCCCCACUAAUUUGGCACAGGUAAAGCAAGUUGUACAAGGGAAAGAGGAAACGCCAGCCUCAUUCUUAGAAAGAUUAAAAGAGGCUUACAGAAUGUAUACUCCCUAUGACCCUGAGGACCCAGGGCAGGCUGCUAGUGUUAUCCUGUCCUUUAUCUACCAGUCUAGCCCGGACAUAAGAAAUAAGUUACAAAGGCUAGAAGGCCUACAGGGGUUCACACUGUCUGAUUUGCUAAAAGAGGCAGAAAAGAUAUACAACAAAAGGGAGACCCCAGAGGAAAGGGAAGAAAGAUUAUGGCAGCGGCAGGAAGAAAGAGAUAAAAAGCGCCAUAAGGAGAUGACUAAAGUUCUGGCCACAGUAGUUGCUCAGAAUAGAGAUAAGGAUAGAGAGGAAAGUAAACUGGGAGAUCAAAGGAAAAUACCUCUGGGGAAAGACCAGUGUGCCUAUUGCAAGGAAAAGGGACAUUGGGUUCGCGAUUGCCCGAAACGACCCCGGAAGAAACCCGCAGACUCCACUCUCCUCAACCUAGAAGAUUAGGAGAGUCAGGGCCAGGACCCCCCCCCUGAGCCCAGGAUAACCCUAAAAGUAGGGGGGCAACCAGUGACCUUUCUGGUGGAUACGGGAGCCCAGCACUCGGUACUGACUCGACCAGAUGGACCUCUCAGUGACCGCUCAGCCCUGGUGCAAGGAGCCACAGGAAGCAAAAACUACCGAUGGACCACCGACAGGAGGGUGCAACUGGCAACCGACACCUUCUCUGGCUGGGCCGAAGCUUACCCCGCCAAACAUGAAACAGCAAAAGUUGUUGCCAAGAAACUCUUAGAAGAGAUUUUUCCUCGUUACGGGAUCCCUCAGGUAUUGGGUUCAGAUAAUGGACCCGCCUUUAUCUCCCAGGUAAGUCAGUCUGUGGCCACCCUACUGGGGAUUAAUUGGAAAUUACAUUGUGCAUACCGACCCCAAAGUUCAGGUCAGGUAGAAAGAAUGAAUAGAUCAAUUAAGGAGACUUUAACUAAAUUAACGCUAGAAACUGGCUCUAAGGAUUGGGUGCUCCUCCUGCCCCUGGUUUUAUACCGGGUACGUAACACGCCAGGUCCCCACGGGUUAACUCCUUUUGAAAUCCUGUACGGGGCACCCCCACCUAUGGCUCACUUCUUUGAUGCUGACAUCUCUGGUUUCGCUACCUCCCCCACCAUGCAGGCACAUUUACGCGCCCUGCAGCUGGUCCAAGAAGA
Molecule: RNA transcript, 3229 nt
Organism: Felis catus (domestic cat)
Lineage: Eukaryota; Metazoa; Chordata; Mammalia; Carnivora; Felidae
Gene name: protein NYNRIN-like
Exons: 2
Source: RefSeq, a predicted model, not a curated record